CUGCGUCACCUUCACCGACGCCGUGGCUCAUCGGCGACGUGACCAUGAACCAGGCCGCCACGAACCCCGUCGGCACUAUCUUCGGUGAGAACUGCCAACUGACUGUCACCUGCUAAUUUCCCCUUUGUUUGUUUUGUUUAGGGGCAGUCUUUAUUUUGCAUGGUAAGGGCAGUCCUUCUGUUUGUUAAUCAAGUUUCUCAGGUUCAUGGGUUUGUGUCACGGCGUUUUGUGCUUGUGUUGCAUAUAUAUUUAACAGUAGUAUCGACAAUGUAGACAUGCCCAAAGCCUUGCAUCCUUGCCAUCUCAUUCUUCAGUUGUCAAAUGCUCAGUCAGCUAUUCAGAUCCCUGCAUCUUUUUUUCAAGUUUUUCCCCAUAUUGAUCUAUGUAUUAUGGUGAAUCCUUCAAUCCAAGAUGCCAUAAGACGAUAUAGAAGUUUGGGAUUAAUUCUUGGCUGAAACAUAUAAAAAAUACAAAUAUGUACAAGUUGUUGGAUGGAGGGUUGGCCCAGAAUUCUGCUAGCAGUCAGCACAGGAGAACCAGGACAGUGGCGGUGGAGCCUCCAGCGUAAGGGCACCGCUGUCGUCGUUCCCGCUCCAUAGACCACCAACUGGAUUCACCGCUGCCUGGAUGAAAGCAAGGAACCCAUCUAGAUUCGUCCGAUGUGUUCAAGAAAUCAACAGUGUUGUCAUACAUGACAGGCUGAUUAACAGGGUUAGUGGAUAAACACCCAUCUUGUUCAAAGUAAAAUAAUUUUCUAUUGGUACAUAUUUGUGUAUAUGAUGAGAGAUGAAAAAUCUGAGUUGUCAUGCUUGUGCAUUAGGAUGGUUCAGGAGUUUUAGCUGGCGCUUUUCAAGAUCAAUAAGGAGUGUUUGUUUGCUGAUCCAUUAAGUCCACAAUGCACGUGUGUACAGGAAUUUUCUGUUUGUAUUGUACAAAAAUGUCUUUUUGUUUUUUUUUCAUUCUAAUGUAAUUACUAUGGAGUCACUCCCACUCUUGUUUUUGGCAUAUUACUGGGACCCUGGAGAUAUAAAACACACUGUUUACCAUUCUGUAGGAACCAUAAGCAAUAUAUGGCAAAGACAUCUUCCUAAUUGUAGAAUCAUGCACGCUUUUUGGGCACAUACGUACAUAUAUCGUAAUAUGUAAUACUAACAAACAGAUGAUUUAACAAGCCAGAUCUACUUGAGCAAAUGUACCCGCCACUUUCUUGGGACAUUUAAUUGCCCAUAGAAUCGUGCCGGCUUUGAUAGCCGGGACUGGAAGGGACAUUAUCUGUCUUGUUAAAAGUCUUGAUCAUAUAUACUAAGGUCAUAGGACUCCACAUGCUACCAGUUUCUUAUGAAAAACAAUCUUCACAAAAACUGAUCCCCACCUACGUCGACUCACAUCCAAACCAUUGGCAUCCAGUUACCUCUUAUAUACAACCUCCACCUAAGCCUAGGACUGAUUACUUAGACCAGUAUUAUUCUUUUAUUAGAUAUAUAAAUAUGUGUGCAUAGGCAAAUAAUUGAUGUGGGAAUGAUGUUGAUACCUGGUACACAAUAUGAUCUCUGUUAAUACGAUAGUGCAUUUCCCUCAACAUUUUCCCUGUUCUUAGUGGUCUUUGAUCUUCUUUACACAAAACAGAAUGGAAUUCUUGGAUUUGAAGAAAUUUCCCUUGCAUCUCCUGGCAAGAAAAUUGACUGUACAUUCAGAACAUAAUCAUGGUAUUUGGAUGGAUAGUUUACCUUUAAAUAUGGUAGUAGAUUACAGAAUAAAUUCUACUAUGAAAAAGACACAUAAUAGAAAAGUCUGCACCAUACAGUGGCACUUAUACCUUGCAUCUCCCAUAUGAUAAUUUGUAGCAUGAAUAUUUGCUUAGAGUGAUUAGAUGGACCUAGAAGGAAUGUACAGCCACAGGCACAUUUUUGUAGAAGGUUAUAAAUUUGGAAAUAAAUUGUAGCGCCUGCUUUACUGUUAUCUUCCAUUUAAAUUAUAGCUUUUGAUCUUGUCAUCUUUACAUGUUGUUUAACAUACUAUGCAGCUUGACUUUGAUUCAAAGUGCAUGAACCUGAAUGCAGGCAUCAUUUUGACUGGAAGGCCUUUCUUUUUUCGUUCUUUGGGAUCAGCAAACAUCCUUGUGUAAUUCAAUACCUGGAUGGUUUUGGGCAACUUUAUAAUUUAGUAAACAAUACUAACACCACACUUAAUUGAAAUAUUUUGUGUGUUUCUUGUGCUUACCUUGCAAGACCUUAAAAACAAGAUGACAAAGAAUUUGGUAUACAUUUCCUAAUUAAAUGUCUGUCUUAUAUUGCAAUUUAUAUCAUUAUCAAUGAUUGUUUGAUGAGUUAAAUUUUUGUCUUAUAUUAUCAAUGAUUGUUUGAUGAAAUAUAUAUUACAUUUUCUAACAUAGUAAAGCUAUGUUUAGAAGUAUCCACUAAUUAACUUGUGAGGAGAUCAAAAUCAUGCUUACUCAAUAUCAUAAAUAAUGAAUGAACCUGUACAAUAAUCAGUUGGGUACCGUCUUUUAGUUUGAG
This 2516-nucleotide long non-coding RNA is filed under the name Triticum aestivum (bread wheat). Its description in RNAcentral is "long non-coding RNA (TAES_LNC004555)". The record is from RNAcentral. Lineage: Eukaryota; Viridiplantae; Streptophyta; Magnoliopsida; Poales; Poaceae.